RNAcentral lists this ribosomal RNA (426 nucleotides) under uncultured bacterium. Its description in RNAcentral is "bacterial SSU rRNA". It matches the Rfam family "Bacterial small subunit ribosomal RNA", at positions 359 to 777 of the family's 1533-position model. The record is from RNAcentral.
GAAUUUUGGACAAUGGGCGCAAGCCUGAUCCAGCCAUGCCGCGUGAGUGAAGAAGGCCUUCGGGUUGUAAAGCUCUUUCGGCCGGAACGAAAUCGUCCGGGCUAAUACCCCGGAUGGGUGACGGUACCGGAAUAAGAAGCACCGGCCAACUACGUGCCCGCCGCCGCGGUCAUCCGUAGGGUGCAGGCGUUGCUCGGAAUUACUGGGCGUAAAGCGUGCGCAGGCGGCUACUCAAGUCAGAUGUGAAAUCCCCGGGCUUAACCUGGGAACUGCGUUUGAAACUGGGUGGCUAGAGUGCGGCAGAGGGGGGUGGAAUUCCACGUGUAGCAGUGAAAUGCGUAGAUAUGUGGAGGAACACCGAUGGCGAAGGCAGCCCCCUGGGCCUGCACUGACGCUCAUGCACGAAAGCGUGGGGAGCAAACAGGA